RNAcentral lists this ribosomal RNA (477 nucleotides) under uncultured bacterium. RNAcentral's name for it is "bacterial SSU rRNA". It matches the Rfam family "Bacterial small subunit ribosomal RNA", at positions 365 to 832 of the family's 1533-position model. The record is from RNAcentral.
UUCGCAAUGCCCGAAAGGGUGACGAAGCGACGCCGCGUGGGUGAGGAAGGCCCUCGGGUUGUAAAGCCCUGUCAGGAGUUAAGAAAUGUAGGUGUGCUAAUAUCCCGCCUAUUUGACGAAGGCUCCAAAGGAAGUCACGGCUAACUCUGUGCCAGCAGCCGCGGUAAUACAGAGGUGGCAAGCGUUGUUCGGAAUUAUUGGGCGUAAAGAGCACGUAGGUGGGUUUGUAAGUCAGAUGUGAAAGCCUUCUGUUCAAAGGAAGAACGGCAUCUGAAACUGCAAGUCUUGAGUGUAGGAGGGGAGAGUGGAACUUCUGGUGGAGCGGUGAAAUGCGUAGAUAUCAGAAGGAACGCCGGCGGCGAAAGCGACUCUCUGGCCCGAAACUGACGCUGAGUGUGCGAAAGCUAGGGGAGCAAACGGGAUUAGAUACCCCGGUAGUCCUAACCGUAAACGAUGGGCACUAAGUAGAGGGGUUUU